This 647-nucleotide ribosomal RNA is filed under the name uncultured archaeon. RNAcentral's name for it is "bacterial SSU rRNA". It matches the Rfam family "Archaeal small subunit ribosomal RNA", at positions 6 to 650 of the family's 1478-position model. The record is from RNAcentral.
GGUUGAUCCUGCCAGAGGUUACUGCUAUCGGAGUUCGAUUAAGCCAUGCGAGUCUAAAGGUUUCUUUCGAGAAACCUUGGCGGACUGCUCAGUAACACGUGGAUAACCUACCCUUGGGACUGGAAUAACCCCGGGAAACUGGGGAUAAUACCGGAUAGAUCAGGGAUGCUGGAAUGCACCUUGAUCCAAAGCUCCGGCGCCCAAGGAUGGGUCUGCGGUCUAUCAGGUUGUAGUGGGUGUAACGUACCUACUAUCCGACGACGGGUACGGGUUGUGAGAGCAAGAGCCCGGAGAUGGAUUCUGAGACACGAAUCCAGGCCCUACGGGGUGCAGCAGGCGCGAAAUCUUUACAAUGUGCGAAAGCAUGAUAAGGGAACUCCGAGUGCCAGUAUCUAAUACUGGCUGUCCUUGUGCCUAAAACGCACAAGAUAGCAAGGGCCGGGUAAGGCCGGUGCCAGCCGCCGCGGUAACACCGGCGGCCCGAGUGGUAGCCGCUAUUAUUGGGUCUAAAGGGUCCGUAGCCGGUUCGAUAAGUCCUCUGGGAAAUCUGGUUGCUUAACAAUCAGACUGCCAAGGGAUACUGUCGAACUUGAGGCCGGGAGAGGUAAGAGGUACUUCAGGGGUAGGAGUGAAAUCUUGUAAUCCCU